Molecule: long non-coding RNA, 4075 nt
Organism: Zootoca vivipara (common lizard)
Lineage: Eukaryota; Metazoa; Chordata; Lepidosauria; Squamata; Lacertidae
Source: RefSeq, a predicted model, not a curated record
ACUACUAAAGGGGGGGCAUUGUGGGUCAAAUGCGGAAGCCUGGCAGGCCAGGUUUGGCUCAUGGGCUGGAUGUUCCCCACCCCGCCUCACUGGAACAUUGGUACCUACUGCCCCACUCCAGAAGGUUCCCAGCAAGUUAGGACUUAGACCAAAAUUUGUUGCACUGGUGAGAGUGCUAGUCUCCCUGGGUCCCUGGGGUCAGACAGAGUCUUACUCUAUGAGAUGUAAUCCACCCUCUGAUUGUGGCAGCACUUCACAGUGUACAGGGAGGUUUGUGAAGGAGUUCCGCAGGAUAGCAGCACUCCCAAGUCUUACAGCUCUAUUUUAAACAGCUACAUUGUACUAUCUCACUGAGGCAAAUUAGUGUGCAAUAAUAAUCAAUGAAACUCAUAAUAGUAAUGCUUCCAAAUAAGAAUUUAAUCCGACAGAUAAUUCUCCCACACUACCACCACCAUUAAAGAGCUCUGAUAAUAGUGAUUGUUUAUACUUGUAGUGGAUUUUUCAAGCAAGCUGUUUCAAGGGCCAUGCUGAUUAAUAAAACUUCAGCAAUUGAAAGACAGAUAAACUAGCAGGCUUAUGCAAUUGCCAAUGGGCUGAUCUUAUUAAAUAAACAUUUACAAAAAGAAAUUGAGCUUUUAAGAAGAGAUUUCCCGAUAGAAGCCUGUUGCUGCAAAAUGAAGAAGUAUAGGAGUCAAGGGACUGGCACUGUAUAUUAAAUUGGUUUAGUAAAGAUAAAUAUACAUUAUUAUUAAAACAUCAUGCAGUAUUGUUGUUGUUGUUGUUACAGCACCAUCAAUGCAAAUGUAUAUGCAGAGAGACUUACUCAUACAAAAUGACAAACAGUAGGGCCAAGGUGAAAUAUGCAAAUGUCACAUUCAGAACUAGGAAUGCAUUCUACAUACAUAAUUUUAUUUGUGUGCCACCUUUCCAUAGUUCAAACCACAUUCAAGGCACCUUGCAACAUGAAGAUACAAAAAUAUAACAUAACAAAAGUAGUCCUAAAAAAGAAAUACAACAUAAAAAAACAAGCAAAAAGUGACGCGGACACAAAACCCCACACAUUCACUGUAUAAAAGAAUAUAAGUUUCACCCCCCCUUCUUCCCUGACCUUAUACUGUACACAACACUAAUGUCUCAUAUCAAAUGUAACUGAUCCAUAGAAAAGACUUUACAACCUGAAAAAAGAGACAAGGCACGUACUUUUGCAAACCAAGAAUUUUUAAAUAAAAAUAUUUUUAACAAAAAAAUCAAAUAGAAGCAUUUCCACUGAAAUCAUAGUAAUAUCUAAAACAGAGAUACACAAAAUUAAUAUCAAUAGCAGCAACAACCGCACCAUAACAAAACCCCUAAACAAUACUUAAACAGCCCAAGUUUGUUCAGCACCCUGAGCUUUUGUAGCUGGACUUAUAGGCAAGAAUGGGAGAGAAAUAUGAUUCAGUUCACAUUUAAAGACAAGUUAACAAAAUUACUGUUUUCUAAAACAACAUGCAAACUGAAAUACAGCUACCCUUUGAAAUUCCCACUUCUCCGAAUAUUGCAAUGCAGUUCUUCAGCCAAGUAAUUUGUUCAAGAAUUCACAUACAAUGGGAAAGGUGUGCACGUAAAUGCAGAUGUUAGUGAAAAUAACAUAGAGAAAUAAAUUACUGUGUAUCGUGGGAAUUGCUUUGCAAAAAUGUGGAUACUCAACACUUGUUUGGUGGUUAGGUUCUGGAGGGUUGGGCCUAAAGCCAAAAUUGUGUACUCCGAACAACCCUGAAACUGCCCAUAUUGGCCAUCCUUACCUUUCCAAAGCCAACACACUCAGUGGACCUUGCACCCCACACAAGGCAGAGAGCUUUUAACCUCUGCCCUGCUUGCCAAGCUCUGGGAGGCUCUUUUGUGGGUUCUGGAAGCCCUCAUGGGGCCAUCCAAGAUCUUGGUUGGCAACCAGGGUGUGGAGAAAAAUAAGGUGGUUGGCAGAUUCCUUCACCUGCUCAAUCGACCAAGAGAGUAUUUGCAACUGCACAGGCAAAAGAGGGAAAUAUAAGAGAAAAACAGAUCAUAACCCUUGGCUCCUGACCAGCUAACUCUUCUCUAAGUAGAGAAAAUCGAGCCAUGGCCUUGGGGGAAACUGCUCUUUAGUGCUACAUUGAAACAAACAGCAACUGGAUUUUCUCCAGAUGGCUGUUUAUUCCAGUUUAGAGCUAAGGGAUGUGUUUUCUCUGAGAAAGGAGAAAGCAAGUGGAAAACCACCCUGAUCCGUGCUUUCUAGGCAGUGGACAAGUGGAAGUGUGGACUUGCCCUAAGAAGAUAAGAAGAAGAAGAAGAAAAGAGGUGCCAAUACUCACCAUGGAGUUGCUAUAUGUUGACCCCUGACAACUAUAAACAUCGUUGGCAACAUGGGAGAAAAGCAUACUUCUAAGUUAAGUUUCUUGUUUGCAGCCUCCCACUCCACUAAACAUUUCUACCAGUUCAAAUGUUGCAACAUUAGUCCAUUUAAUUGCAAUCUGCACAAAAUAAUCUAUGGAAGUGUAGUACAGCUGACAAGGCUUUGAGAAACCAAAAAUCGUGUAUGUAUUUAUCCUUUCUGCCUUCAGGAGGAGAUAUAAUUUGUUCCCUGUCAUGCUAUGAUGACACCAAGGAAAUUGGAGGAGCAAAGAAAGCUCCGAACAAGUAUGUGUGUGAGAAGAUUAUAAAAAUUACUUGUUUUUAAACUUCGGUUUCCUAGCAAUUUUCCUCUAUCAAUGAUUUGCAAACAGGUUCUAUUCCUCACUUUAAAAAAUUCUCAGAGCAAUUGCAUUCUGUUUCCCAUUUAAAAGACCUUGCUGAUUGAAUUGAGCCAUUGGUUUUAAGCGCUUUUACCCUUCAAUUUUAAUUCUUGCAAAUUCCUACCCUGAAGACGUUCCUCUCUAUAACACUUGGAACUACAGUGUGUGUGUGUGUUCUUGACAUGGUUUUUUUUUAAAAAAAAUACUCUUCUUAAUUCACAUUUGAUUCUCUGUCAGAAUAUCUUCCGACUUUUUAUAGAAUAAAAACAACACUUCUGCUCAUUUGUGUGAAAUGCUCUUCAAAUUUUGUUUUUUUUUGGGGGGGGGGGACUUGUCUAUCUGACAAAAGUCAAGUAUGUUUUGCAAUUUUCAUGUGGAGGUUAUUUUAAUUAAGCUUUAAGUGUGGGGCCUGUAUUACCUCAGAGGCAUAAGUGCAAACUAGCCCUCUGUGUUGUACCCAAUGGUUAUUAUUGAAUGAACAACAACAACAAUUAAUUAAUUUAUGCAUCACUUUCUCUGAGACAUCUCAAAGCGAUUUAAAGUUCAAUGAAUCUAAAACAACCACAUAGAAGCAAUUAAGACAACUGCAUAUAUUAAAACUAAAAAAACAACAACCUAGAAAACAAUUAGAAAACACCAAUGACAUAUAUAAAAUCAAUUUCAAAUCCAGUACUGAUACCCAAAAAUAUAACAGUCUCCACUGAAAGAGUAAAGUCUACAUGCCUAAACAGGCAUGUAGAAGAUAACAGAGAGCGAUGAAGAGCUCAAGAGGUGAAAUGAGACAUUCCACUCCAGAACUCCCCCCCCAACUGCAUAUCAGAGAGAACCUACUCUAUUGUUUUCUGCAUGUGUGUGUAUUCAGCAAUGCCUGAUUAUCACCUUCCAAAGCAACUACUCUAUUCCAAACUUAAAAAUGGAAAGCAUAGUGCUGGUGGUCAACAAAAGAGGUUUAAAGACUGUCUCAAGGCAAAUCUAACAAAACACCAACAAUUGGGAAACACAUGCCUGUGAGUGCUCCAGUUGGAGAACAGUCUUUACCAAAGGUGUCCUGGGCUUUGAAGAUUCUGGAACUCAGGACACAAGGGAGAAAUGUGCUAAGAGGAAGGCACGCUUGGCAAAUCCACACCGUGAUCAACUCCUUCCUAGAAACCUAUGUCCCCACUAUGGAAGGACGUGUGGAUCCAGAAUUGACCUCCACAGUCACUUACAGACUCAUUGUUAGAUUGUCUUCCAUAAACACAGUUUUUACUCGGCUACGAGGGAUCACCAAAGAAGAAGAGGAAGAUGAAGAUGAAGAGGAAGAGGAAGAAGAAGAAGAAGAGGAGGAG